GGGCCGUUAGCUCAGUUGGUAGAGCACCUGACUUUUAAUCAGGGUGUCACAGGUUCGAGACCUGUACGGCCUAC
Molecule: transfer RNA, 74 nt
Filed under: Dehalogenimonas sp. NIT-SK1
Lineage: Bacteria; Bacillati; Chloroflexota; Dehalococcoidia; Dehalococcoidales; Dehalococcoidaceae
Also listed under: 1 other name
Description: tRNA-Lys
Rfam family: tRNA
About the family: Transfer RNA (tRNA) molecules are approximately 80 nucleotides in length. Their secondary structure includes four short double-helical elements and three loops (D, anti-codon, and T loops).
Source: RNAcentral